AUUGAACGCUGGCGGCAGGCCUAACACAUGCAAGUCGAACGAGUGGCGGACGGGUGAGUAAUGUAUGGGAAACUGCCUGAUGGAGGGGGAUAACUAGUGGAAACGGUAGCUAAUACCGCAUACCAUCAGAUGUGCCCAGAUGGGAUUAUCGGGUGGGUGGGGUAACGGCUCACCAAGGCGACGAGCCCUAGCUGUUCUGAGAGGAUGACCCGCCACACUGGAACUGAGACACGGUCCAGACUCCUCCGGGAGGCAGCAGUGGGGAAGAUUGCACAAUGGGCGCAAGCCUGAUGCAGCCAUGCCGCGUGUAUGAAGAAGGCCUUCGGGUUUUAAAGUACUUUCAGCGGGGCGGCGUUACCCGCAGAAGAAGCACCGGCUAACUCCGUGCCAGCAGCCGCGGUAAUAC
RNAcentral lists this ribosomal RNA (406 nucleotides) under uncultured bacterium. RNAcentral describes it as "partial 16S ribosomal RNA". It matches the Rfam family "Bacterial small subunit ribosomal RNA", at positions 30 to 526 of the family's 1533-position model. The record is from RNAcentral.